UUCCCCAAUGCACAGAAACCCCAGUGCAGCCCUGACCCAAGCAGUUGCCCUUCCCAGGUGAGCCGCAGCAGCGAGAUGGCUUCAUUAAUCACUCAUUCCCCAUUACUCACCAUGUCUUCACUGCUGUCGCCUCUCUGUGCUAUGUUUGCUAUGUGCAAAGGAUGCUACAAAUGAGACUAAAAACUCCUUAACUGUGAUUAUAAACAAUGCAGCCUCUGUAAUAAAUGUUUCUAUUUCUAUUUUUUUUCCUAAGUGUCCUUGAAUAGUACCAGUAAUCCACCAUCCCUAUCACAGACUGCAGAAAAGCUACAGAACCUGAGGAGGAAACCAA
This is a non-coding RNA of Chelonoidis abingdonii (Abingdon island giant tortoise), 331 nucleotides long. Lineage: Eukaryota; Metazoa; Chordata; Testudines; Testudinidae. The record is from RefSeq and is a predicted model, not a curated record.